This 341-nucleotide unclassified non-coding RNA is filed under the name soil metagenome. RNAcentral's name for it is "partial contains 5.8S ribosomal RNA, internal transcribed spacer 2, and large subunit ribosomal RNA". The stretch from base 1 to 120 matches the Rfam family "5.8S ribosomal RNA", at positions 35 to 154 of the family's 154-position model. The record is from RNAcentral.
GAUGAAGAACGCAGCGAAAUGCGAUAACUAAUGUGAAUUGCAGAAUUCAGUGAAUCAUCGAGUCUUUGAACGCACAUUGCGCCCCCUGGUAUUCCGAGGGGCAUGCCUGUCCGAGCGUCAUUGCUGCCCUCAAGCACGGCUUGUGUGUUGGGCUCCGUCCCCCCGGGGACGGGUCCGAAAGGCAGCGGCGGCACCGAGUCCGGUCCUCGAGCGUAUGGGGCUUUGUCACCCGCUCUGUAGGCCCGGCCGGCGCCAGCCGACAACCAAUCAUCCUUUUUUCAGGUUGACCUCGGAUCAGGUAGGGAUACCCGCUGAACUUAAGCAUAUCAAUAAGCGGAGGA